UACUAGAGUAGCACUCGCAUAUCAAUAAGCGGAGGAAAAGAAACUAACAAGGAUUCCCCUAGUAACGGCGAGUGAAGCGGGAAGAGCUCAAAUUUGAAAUCUUAAAGGGUUUCCCUUUACGAAUUGUAGUUUAAAGAAGUGUUUUCUGUUGAGGUUUUGGUAAAAGUUCUUUGGAAUAGGACAUCAUAGAGGGUGAGAAUCCCGUAUUUGACCUUUACUUUCAACUUUGUGAUACACUUUCAAAGAGUCGGAUUGUUUGGGAAUGCAGUCCAAAAUGGGUGGUAAAUUUCAUCUAAAGCUAAAUAUUGGCGAGAGACCGAUAGCGAACAAGUACCGUGAGGGAAAGAUGAAAAGAACUUUGAAAAGAGAGUUAAACAGUACGUGAAAUUGUCAAAAGGGAAGCGUUUGACACCAGUGUUGUUUUUCUGAAAAUCAAUUAAAGAACUGUUUAUGCUAAGCUGUUUAGACUUUAUCAGCUAUCUGUUUCGUUUUGAGCUUUUCUUUAAUGCACUUUUCAGUUAACAAGUCAACAUCAAUUUCUUUUGCUGUAAAAAAGCUUGAGGAAGGUGGCUUGAGAUUCGUCUUAAGUGUUUAUAGCCUCUUGCCUAUGCAGUCGGAGAGAUUGAGGUCUGCAGCGUAGAUCCUUCGGGGCUAAAUGCAUUUGUGCUAAGUUAUAGCAUUUUAUAGACAACUUGUUGACUAUGAUUUGUCUUGUAGCUUACUCGCUUAUGUUAUUUUACCUACGCUUAGGAUGUUGAACUCUAUCACACACA
This 773-nucleotide ribosomal RNA is filed under the name uncultured Neocallimastigales. Its description in RNAcentral is "partial large subunit ribosomal RNA". It matches the Rfam family "Eukaryotic large subunit ribosomal RNA", at positions 20 to 615 of the family's 3401-position model. The record is from RNAcentral. Lineage: Eukaryota; Fungi; Neocallimastigomycota; Neocallimastigomycetes; Neocallimastigales.